CGCGUAGGCGGCUUUAUAAGUCAGAUGUGAAAUUCCACGGCUUAACUGUGGAAGUGCAUUUGAAACUGUGAGGCUUGAGUAUCGGAGGGGAGUGUGGAAUUCCCGGUGUAGAGGUGAAAUUCGUAGAGAUCGGGAGGAACACCGGUGGCGAAGGCGACACUCUGGACGAAUACUGACGCCGAGGCGCGAAAGCGUGGGGAGCAAACG
Molecule: ribosomal RNA, 207 nt
Filed under: uncultured bacterium
Lineage: Bacteria
Description: partial 16S ribosomal RNA
Rfam family: Bacterial small subunit ribosomal RNA
Source: RNAcentral